AGUCCCGUAGCCCAACAGGCAAGGGUGCUGGACUUUGAAUCCAGAGACGCAGGUUCGAAUCCUGCCGGGACUA
Molecule: transfer RNA, 73 nt
Filed under: Candidatus Altarchaeales archaeon WOR_SM1_86-2
Lineage: Archaea; Nanobdellati; Candidatus Altarchaeota; Candidatus Altarchaeia; Candidatus Altarchaeales
Description: Candidatus Altiarchaeales archaeon WOR_SM1_86-2 tRNA-Gln
Rfam family: tRNA
About the family: Transfer RNA (tRNA) molecules are approximately 80 nucleotides in length. Their secondary structure includes four short double-helical elements and three loops (D, anti-codon, and T loops).
Source: RNAcentral